RNAcentral lists this ribosomal RNA (488 nucleotides) under uncultured bacterium. RNAcentral's name for it is "partial 16S ribosomal RNA". It matches the Rfam family "Bacterial small subunit ribosomal RNA", at positions 28 to 507 of the family's 1533-position model. The record is from RNAcentral.
GACGAACGCUGGCGGCGUGCUUAACACAUGCAAGUCGAACGCUGAAGCUCAGCUUUUGUUGGGUGGAUGAGUGGCGAACGGGUGAGUAACACGUGAGUAACCUGCCUCCUUCUUUGGGAUAACGCCCGGAAACGGGUGCUAAUACUGGAUAUUCACUGGUCUUCGCAUGGGGGUUGGUGGAAAGGGUUUUUCUGGUGGGGGAUGGGCUCGCGGCCUAUCAGCUUGUUGGUGGGGUGAUGGCCUACCAAGGCUUUGACGGGUAGCCGGCCUGAGAGGGUGGACGGUCACACUGGGACUGAGACACGGCCCAGACUCCUACGGGAGGCAGCAGUGGGGAAUAUUGCACAAUGGGCGCAAGCCUGAUGCAGCGACGCCGCGUGAGGGAUGGAGGCCUUCGGGUUGUGAACCUCUUUCGCCAGUGAAGCAGGCCUGCCUCGUUUGUGGGUGGGUUGACGGUAGCUGGAUAAGAAGCGCCGGCUAACUACGUG